This 301-nucleotide long non-coding RNA is filed under the name Setaria italica (foxtail millet). RNAcentral describes it as "long non-coding RNA (SITA_LNC001055)". Lineage: Eukaryota; Viridiplantae; Streptophyta; Magnoliopsida; Poales; Poaceae. The record is from RNAcentral.
UUCUUCUUUUCCCAUCCGGCUGCCACUUUCUGUUUCUUUGGUUUUGUUCACGAAACUUACAAGUAGCAGGUUUAUUGGUGAUUUUUUUUUUCUUUUUGAGAUUAGAAUGCGAGCCUUCUUUUGCAUUGGAGGGGCGCAAGUUUUUAUUCCAGUCUGAUUCAUUGUCGUAGGAUUGUAUAAACUUAGGAAUGAAUUUUUUUCAAGCCUUUUGAUUUUGGAAUUUUGCAGUACUUUAUUCAGGCGAUAAUUGAACAUCGGAAUACAACUAUAUUGUAGGGAUGGGUGGUGCAACAGUUCGGGC